CAGAAGGGAGAGGUCAAAAGGAUUAGAAGGGAAAAUGAAAAGAGCAUAAAAAAAGGGAUAGGUUCAGGUUUUGGCAGUUAGAGAAGUUGAGGGCGAUUUCUUGAUGGCGAAUCAAUCUCGAAAGGCUCAAGCGCAGCAAUCGGGCGAUGGUAGAAGACGAUGACGGUGGACACACUUGGCGACGGCAACAAUAAUGGGAGGCAAAGGAAGUGCAGAUGGAGCUGGCGCUACCAGUAGUAGGUGGUGUCGAAGGUGCUAGCAGCAGGUGGUGUUGAUAACGCUGGCAGCGGGCGACGGUGAUGGGCUGGCAGUAGGUGCGUCGAUGGUGCUGGACUUCAAGUCGUAGAAGAAAUUGCGAAUGGAAAAGAUACAGAUAAAGGGACUCACUCCCUAUGGACUUAUUCCAGUCGAUGCAUAAAUGUGGAGGAAAAUUAGAAAACACAUCUCAUUUAAAAAAAAAAAAAAAACAUUCUUCUUCAAUUUUUUUUUAUCAUCCAAUGCAUAGAAUAAUUAAAGAGCUUUUCCUGACAGUGAUAAGCUCAAAACAAAAUCCUAAUAAUAAAAUCUCUACCAAAAUAACAACUUUCCUAACAACUUUUAGAUAAAAUCAUAACAAUAAAAUCUCUACCAAAUUAACAACUUUCUUAACAACUUUUAGAUAAAAUUCUAACAACUAGAUAAGUUCAAAUAAUCAA
This 695-nucleotide long non-coding RNA is filed under the name Ananas comosus (pineapple). RNAcentral describes it as "long non-coding RNA (ACOM_LNC024314)". Lineage: Eukaryota; Viridiplantae; Streptophyta; Magnoliopsida; Poales; Bromeliaceae. The record is from RNAcentral.